UGGCGGCAGGCUUCACACAUGCAAGUCGAGCGGAGAGAGGUAGCUUGCUACUGAUCUUAGCGGCGGACGGGUGAGUAAUGCUUAGGAAUCUGCCUAUUAGUGGGGGACAACAUUUCGAAAGGAAUGCUAAUACCGCAUACGUCCUACGGGAGAAAGCAGGGGAUCUUCGGACCUUGCGCUAAUAGAUGAGCCUAAGUCGGAUUAGCUAGUUGGUGGGGUAAAGGCCUACCAAGGCGACGAUCUGUAGCGGGUCUGAGAGGAUGAUCCGCCACACUGGGACUGAGACACGGCCCAGACUCCUACGGGAGGCAGCAGUGGGGAAUAUUGGACAAUGGGCGGAAGCCUGAUCCAGCCAUGCCGCGUGUGUGAAGAAGGCCUUAUGGUUGUAAAGCACUUUAAGCGAGGAGGAGGCUACUUUAGUUAAUACCUAGAGAUAGUGGACGUUACUCGCAGAAUAAGCACCGGCUAACUCUGUGCCAGCAAGCCGCGGUAAUACAGAGGGUGCAAGCGUUAAUCGGAUUUACUGGGCGUUAAAGCGCGCGUA
This 544-nucleotide ribosomal RNA is filed under the name Acinetobacter sp. PP1. RNAcentral describes it as "bacterial SSU rRNA". It matches the Rfam family "Bacterial small subunit ribosomal RNA", at positions 37 to 573 of the family's 1533-position model. Lineage: Bacteria; Pseudomonadati; Pseudomonadota; Gammaproteobacteria; Moraxellales; Moraxellaceae. The record is from RNAcentral.